AGUCUACCUGCCCACUGAAUAAUUUAAAUGGCCGCAGUAUACUAACUGUGCAAAGGUAGCAUAAUCAUUAGUCUUUUAAUUGAAGGCUGGUAUGAAUGGUUGGACGAGAUAUUAACUGUUUCAUAAAAAUUUAUAAUAGAAUUUUAUUUUUUAGUCAAAAAGCUAAAAUAAAAUUAAAAGACGAGAAGACCCUAUAAAUCUUUAUAUAUAAAUUAUUAGAAUUUUGUAGAUUUUUUUUAUUAUAAUAAUUAACUAUAUUUUAUUGGGGUGAUAUUAAAAUUUAAUAAACUUUUAAUUAUUAAAAUCAUUAAUUUAUGAAUAAUUGAUCCGUUAAUAACGAUUAAAAAAAUAAGUUACUUUAGGGAUAACAGCGUAAUUUUUUUGGAGAGUUCAUAUCGAUAAAAAAGAUUGCGACCUCGAUGUUGGAUUAAGAUAUAAUUUUAGGUGUAGCCGCUUAAAUUUUAAGUCUGUUCGACUUUUAAAUUCUUAC
RNAcentral lists this ribosomal RNA (490 nucleotides) under Ravinia pusiola. RNAcentral describes it as "partial 16S ribosomal RNA". It matches the Rfam family "Bacterial large subunit ribosomal RNA", at positions 1852 to 2599 of the family's 2925-position model. The record is from RNAcentral. Lineage: Eukaryota; Metazoa; Arthropoda; Insecta; Diptera; Sarcophagidae.